This 839-nucleotide ribosomal RNA is filed under the name uncultured bacterium. RNAcentral describes it as "bacterial SSU rRNA". It matches the Rfam family "Bacterial small subunit ribosomal RNA", at positions 102 to 968 of the family's 1533-position model. The record is from RNAcentral.
ACGGGUGAGUAAUAUAUAGGUAAUGUGCCCUAGAGAGGGGGAUAACAGUUGGAAACGACUGCUAAGACCCCAUAUGCCUUUAAGACAGAAGUCUGCAAGGGAAAUAUUUAUAGCUCUAGGAUCGGCCUGUACGGUAUCAGCUAGUUGGUGAGGUAAUGGCUCACCAAGGCAAUGACGCCUAACUGGUUUGAGAGGAUGAUCAGUCACACUGGAACUGAGACACGGUCCAGACUCCUACGGGAGGCAGCAGUGGGGAAUAUUGCACAAUGGGGGAAACCCUGAUGCAGCAACCCGCGUGGAGGAUGACACAUUUCGGUGCGUAAACUCCUUUUAUAUAGGAAGAUAAUGACGGUACUAUAUGAAUAAGCACCGGCUAACUCCGUGCCAGCAGCCGCGGUAAUACGGAGGGUGCAAGCGUUACUCGGAAUCACUGGGCGUAAAGAGCGUGUAGGCGGGUAAAUAAGUCAGAUGUGAAAGCCUAUGCUCAACCAUAGAACUGCAUUUGAAACUGUUUACCUAGAGUAUGGGAGAGGUAGAUGGAAUUUCUGGUGUAGGGGUAAAAUCCGUAGAGAUCAGAAGGAAUACCGAUUGCGAAGCGAUCUACUGGAACAUUACUGACGCUGAGACGCGAAACUGGGGAGCAAACAGGAUUAGAUACCCUGGUAGUCCACGCCCUAAACGAUGUACACUAGUUGUUGCUAUACUAGAUAUAGCAGUAAUGCAGUUAACACAUUAAGUGUACCGCCUGGGGAGUACGGUCGCAAGAUUAAACUCAAAGGAAUAGACGGGGACCCGCACAAGCGUGGAGCAUGUGGUUUAAUUCGACGAUACGCGAAGAA